RNAcentral lists this ribosomal RNA (253 nucleotides) under uncultured bacterium. RNAcentral describes it as "partial 16S ribosomal RNA". It matches the Rfam family "Bacterial small subunit ribosomal RNA", at positions 524 to 776 of the family's 1533-position model. The record is from RNAcentral.
UACAGAGGGUGCGAGCGUUAAUCGGAAUUACUGGGCGUAAAGCGUGCGCAGGCGGUUUUGUAAGCCAGAUGUGAAAGCCCCGGGCUUAACCUGGGAAUGGCAUUUGGGACUGCAAGGCUUGAGUGCGGCAGAGGAGACUGGAAUUCCUGGUGUAGCAGUGAAAUGCGUAGAUAUCAGGAGGAACACCGAUGGCGAAGGCAGGUCUCUGGGCUGACACUGACGCUCAUGCACGAAAGCGUGGGGAGCAAACAGG